This 1474-nucleotide ribosomal RNA is filed under the name metagenome. RNAcentral describes it as "bacterial SSU rRNA". It matches the Rfam family "Bacterial small subunit ribosomal RNA". The record is from RNAcentral.
AGAGUUUGAUCCUGGCUCAGGAUGAACGCUGGCGGCGUGCCUAACACAUGCAAGUCGAGCGAACAGAAGAAGAGCUUGCUCUUUGGAAGUUAGCGGCGGACGGGUGAGUAACGCGUGGGCAACCUGCCCUAUACAGAGGGAUAGCCUCGGGAAACCGGGAUUAAUACCUCAUAAAACUCUAGUAUGGCAUCAUACAUGAGUCAAAGAUUUAUCGGUAUAGGAUGGGCCCGCGUCUGAUUAGCUAGUUGGUAAGGUAAAGGCUUACCAAGGCGACGAUCAGUAGCCGACCUGAGAGGGUGAUCGGCCACACUGGAACUGAGACACGGUCCAGACUCCUACGGGAGGCAGCAGUGGGGAAUAUUGCACAAUGGGCGAAAGCCUGAUGCAGCAACGCCGCGUGAGCGAUGAAGGCCUUCGGGUCGUAAAGCUCUGUUCUAAGGGAAGAAUAAUGACGGUACCUUAGAAGGAAGCCCCGGCUAACUACGUGCCAGCAGCCGCGGUAAUACGUAGGGGGCGAGCGUUAUCCGGAAUCAUUGGGCGUAAAGGGUGCGUAGGCGGUUAUGUAAGUUAGAGGUGAAAGGCUACGGCUCAACCGUAGUAAGCCUUUAAAACUGCAUGACUUGAGUGCAGGAGAGGAGAGUGGAACUCCUAGUGUAGCGGUGAAAUGCGUAGAUAUUAGGAGGAACACCAGUGGCGAAGGCGACUCUCUGGACUGUAACUGACGCUGAGGCACGAAAGCGUGGGGAGCGAACAGGAUUAGAUACCCUGGUAGUCCACGCCGUAAACAUGAGUGCUAGGUGUCGGGGGGUACCACCCUCGGUGCCGCAGCUAACGCAUUAAGCACUCCGCCUGGGGAGUACGGUCGCAAGACUGAAACUCAAAGGAAUUGACGGGGACCCGCACAAGCAGCGGAGCAUGUGGUUUAAUUCGAAGCAACGCGAAGAACCUUACCAGAACUUGACAUCCUCUGCAUUACCAGUAAUGUGGGAAAUCCCUUCGGGGACAGAGAGACAGGUGGUGCAUGGUUGUCGUCAGCUCGUGUCGUGAGAUGUUGGGUUAAGUCCCGCAACGAGCGCAACCCUUGUCUUUAGUUGCCAGCAAGUAAUGUUGGGCACUCUAGAGAGACUGCCGGGGAUAACUCGGAGGAAGGUGGGGAUGACGUCAAAUCAUCAUGCCCCUUAUGUUCUGGGCUACACACGUGCUACAAUGGCUGGUACAACGAGACGCGAAAGAGUAAUCUGAAGCAAAUCUUAAAAGCCAGUCUCAGUUCGGAUUGUGGGCUGCAACUCGCCCACAUGAAGCUGGAGUUGCUAGUAAUCGUGGAUCAGAAUGCCACGGUGAAUGCGUUCCCGGGUCUUGUACACACCGCCCGUCACACCAUGGAAGUUGGGGGCACCCGAAGUCAGCUAUUUAACCGCGAGGAGGAAGCUGCCGAAGGUGAAAUCAAUGACUAGGGUGAAGUCGUAACAAGGUA